UUCAAUUUGCUCGUACCAAUCUUAAUUGA
RNAcentral lists this small RNA (29 nucleotides) under Bombyx mori (domestic silkworm). RNAcentral describes it as "ovarian small RNA-36991". Lineage: Eukaryota; Metazoa; Arthropoda; Insecta; Lepidoptera; Bombycidae. The record is from RNAcentral.